Molecule: long non-coding RNA, 290 nt
Filed under: Gallus gallus (chicken)
Lineage: Eukaryota; Metazoa; Chordata; Aves; Galliformes; Phasianidae
Description: lncRNA (ENSGALG00010020245.1)
Source: RNAcentral
CACAGUUAAACAGCAGGAAACUAUUGUUUACAAUAUUCAAAAUAAGGGAACGGGAGUCAUAUACAGGAUGUUAAAGAAAGGUGCCAUGACCAUGUGGGGUGGGUGCUCCUGGCUGGAGGAUGUGAGAAGCUGCACUCACAGAGGAGUUGGGAUGAUGACCAGUGGAUCAGUUGGUGGGUAUAUAUCUCUCUUGUUUGUCUUCUUCAUGAAGCGAGUAGGUUCAUGAAGAUUGAAACUUCAUCUGCAUCCCUGUAAGCAAAUGCUGUGCUCCAAAACAUUGCUAUCCCUGC